This 1998-nucleotide ribosomal RNA is filed under the name Odoribacter sp. N15.MGS-14. RNAcentral describes it as "bacterial LSU rRNA". It matches the Rfam family "Bacterial large subunit ribosomal RNA", at positions 1 to 2013 of the family's 2925-position model. Lineage: Bacteria; Pseudomonadati; Bacteroidota; Bacteroidia; Bacteroidales; Odoribacteraceae. The record is from RNAcentral.
GUAAAUAAUAAAGGGCGUAUGGUGGAUGCCUAGGCUCUCAGAGGCGAUGAAGGACGUGAUAAGCUGCGAAAAGCUCCGUUUAGGUGCAAAUAACCUUUGAUGCGGAGAUCUCCGAAUGGGAUAACCCAAUAUGUUGAAGACAUAUUAUACCGUAAGGUAGGCAAACGCAGGGAACUGAAACAUCUAAGUACCUGCAGGAGAAGAAAACAAACGUGAUUCCCCCAGUAGCGGCGAGCGACCGGGGAAAAGCCCAAACCGUUAUUGUUUCGGCAUUAACGGGGUAGUAGGACUGCAAGUUUGAUGAAAUAAAUGAAAUGGAACACCUUGGAAAAUGUGAUCACAGAGGGUGAUAAUCCCGUACAUGCAAGUUUAUGAAUCAUAGCAGACUCCUGAGUAAGUCGGGACACGUGUAAUCCUGACCGAAUCCGCCGGGACCAUCCGGCAAGGCUAAAUACUCCCGAGAGACCGAUAGUGAACCAGUACCGUGAGGGAAAGGUGAAAAGCACUUCGAACAGAAGAGUGAAAUAGUCCCUGAACCCAUACGCCUACAAGCUGUCGGAGCCGCUUCGUGCGGUGACGGCGUGCCUUUUGCAUAAUGAGCCUACGAGUUACUCAUCACCAGCGAGGUUAAGUACUUCAGGUACGUAAGCCGAAGCGAAAGCGAGUCUGAAUAGGGCGUCAAGUUGGUGGUGGUAGACGCGAAACCUUAGUGAUCUACCCAUGGGCAGGGUGAAGGUUUGGUAACACAAACUGGAGGCCCGAACCGGUAAACGUUGAAAAGUUUUCGGAUGACCUGUGGGUAGGGGUGAAAGGCCAAUCAAACUGGGAAAUAGCUCGUACUCUCCGAAAUGCAUUUAGGUGCAGCCUCUGUUGUUUUGUUCUAGAGGUAGAGCUACUGAUUGGAUGCGAGGGCUUCACCGCCUAUCAAAUCCGGCCAAACUCCGAAUGCUAGAACAUGAAGACAGGGAGUGAGCCAGCGGGUGCUAAGGUCCGUUGACGAAAGAGGGAGAACUCAGACCAUCAGCUAAGGUCCCCAAUUAUAUGCUAAGUUGGAAUAAAAACGGGGUGGGACUGCUUAGACAGCUAGGAUGUUGGCUUGGAAGCAGCCAUUCAUUUAAAGAGUGCGUAACAGCUCACUAGUCGAGCGGUCCUGCAUGGAUAAUACGCGGGCAUAAGCAUAUAACCGAAGCUAUGGGAUUGUAUAUGAUACAAUCGGUAGGAGAGCAUUCCAUUCAGCAUAGAAGCAGUACCGUGAGGUAUUGUGGAGCGGAUGGAAAAGCAAAUGUAGGCAUAAGUAACGAUAAUGCGGGUGAGAACCCCGCACGCCGAAAGAUCAAGGAUUCCCCGGCAAUGUCAAUCAUCCGGGGGUAAGUCGGAUCCUAAGGGUAAGCCGAGUGGCGAUCCCGAUGGUAAACAGGUUAAUAUUCCUGUACUGAUCAUAACUGCGAUGCAGCGACGCAGAGGUGACACUGCUGCGUACUGACGGAAUAGUACGUUGAAACCCGUAUUCUUUGAUACCGGUAGUGAAGCACGCCGGUAGAGAUGAAAGGUGAUAGUACCGCAAUGCUUCGGUUGCGCGGAUAAUGCAGGUAAGCUGACUGCCAAGAAAACCUGCUAAGCUUCAGGUAAUGAUCAUCCGUACUGUAAACGGACACACGUGAUCAGGUAGAAAAUACUAAGGCGCUCGAGAGAUUCAUGGUUAAGGAACUAGGCAAAAUGGUCCUGUAACUUCGGGAUAAAGGACGCUCUUGUGAAAGAGCCGCAGAUAAUAGGCCCAGGCGACUGUUUACCAAAAACACAUGGCUAUGCUAAUUCGCAAGAAGAUGUAUAUGGCCUGACACCUGCCCGGUGCCGGAAGGUUAAGAGGAGAGCUCAGAGGUAACUCGAAGGUUUGAAUUGAAGCCCCGGUAAACGGCGGCCGUAACUAUAACGGUCCUAAGGUAGCGAAAUUCCUUGUCGGGUAAGUUCCGACCUGCACGAAUGGUGUAACGAUCUGGG